GAGUUUGAUCAUGGCUCGGAUUGAACGCUGGCGGCAUGCCUUACACAUGCAAGUCGAACGGUAACAGGUCUUCGGAUGCUGACGAGUGGCGAACGGGUGAGUAAUACAUCGGAACGUGCCCGAUCGUGGGGGGAUAACGGAGCGAAAGCUUUGCUAAUACCGCAUACGAUCUACGGAUGAAAGCAGGGGACCGCAAGGCCUUGCGCGGACGGAGCGGCCGAUGGCAGAUUAGGUAGUUGGUGGGAUAAAAGCUUACCAAGCCGACGAUCUGUAGCUGGUCUGAGAGGACGACCAGCCACACUGGGACUGAGACACGGCCCAGACUCCUACGGGAGGCAGCAGUGGGGAAUUUUGGACAAUGGGCGAAAGCCUGAUCCAGCCAUGCCGCGUGCAGGAUGAAGGCCUCGGUUGUAACGUA
RNAcentral lists this ribosomal RNA (418 nucleotides) under uncultured microorganism. Its description in RNAcentral is "bacterial SSU rRNA". It matches the Rfam family "Bacterial small subunit ribosomal RNA", at positions 9 to 432 of the family's 1533-position model. The record is from RNAcentral.